GACGAACGUUUGCGGCGUGCUUAACACAUGCAAGUCGAACGGAAAGGCCCUGCUUUUGUGGGGUGCUCGAGUGGCGAACGGGUGAGUAACACGUGAGUAACCUGCCCUUGACUUUGGGAUAACUUCAGGAAACUGGGGCUAAUACCGGAUAGGAGCUCCUGCUGCAUGGUGGGGGUUGGAAAGUUUCGGCGGUUGGGGAUGGACUCGCGGCUUAUCAGCUUGUUGGUGGGGUAGUGGCUUACCAAGGCUUUGACGGGUAGCCGGCCUGAGAGGGUGACCGGCCACAUUGGGACUGAGAUACGGCCCAGACUCCUACGGGAGGCAGCAGUGGGGAAUAUUGCACAAUGGGCGGAAGCCUGAUGCAGCAACGCCGCGUGCGGGAUGACGGCCUUCGGGUUGUAAACCGCUUUCGCCUGUGACGAAGCGUGAGUGACGGUAAUGGGUAAAGAAGCACCGGCUAACUACGUGCCAGCAGCCGCGGUGAUACGUAGGGUGCGAGCGUUGUCCGGAUUUAUUGGGCGUAAAGGGCUCGUAGGUGGUUGAUCGCGUCGGAAGUGUAAUCUUGGGGCUUAACCCUGAGCGUGCUUUCGAUACGGGUUGACUUGAGGAAGGUAGGGGAGAAUGGAAUUCCUGGUGGAGCGGUGGAAUGCGCAGAUAUCAGGAGGAACACCAGUGGCGAAGGCGGUUCUCUGGGCCUUUCCUGACGCUGAGGAGCGAAAGCGUGGGGAGCGAACAGGCUUAGAUACCCUGGUAGUCCACGCUGUAAACGGUGGGUACUAGGUGUGGGGUCCAUUCCACGGGUUCCGUGCCGUAGCUAACGCUUUAAGUACCCCGCCUGGGGAGUACGGCCGCAAGGCUAAAACUCAAAGGAAUUGACGGGGCCCCGCACAAGCGGCGGAGCAUGCGGAUUAAUUCGAUGCAACGCGUAGAACCUUACCUGGGUUUGACAUGGAUCGGGAGUGCUCAGAGAUGGGUGUGCCUCUUUUGGGGUCGGUUCACAGGUGGUGCAUGGCUGUCGUCAGCUCGUGUCGUGAGAUGUUGGGUUAAGUCCCGCAACGAGUGCAACCCUUGUUCACUGUUGCCAGCACGUUAUGGUGGGGACUCAGUGGAGACCGCCGGGGUCAACUCGGAGGAAGGUGGGGAUGACGUCAAGUCAUCAUGCCCCUUAUGUCCAGGGCUUCACGCAUGCUACAAUGGCUGGUACAGAGAGUGGCGAGCCUGUGAGGGUGAGCGAAUCUCGGAAAGCCGGUCUCAGUUCGGAUUGGGGUCAGCAACUCGACCUCAUGAAGUCGGAGUCGCUAGUAAUCGCAGAUCAGCAACGCUGCGGUGAAUACGUUCCCGGG
This 1343-nucleotide ribosomal RNA is filed under the name uncultured bacterium. RNAcentral's name for it is "16S ribosomal RNA". It matches the Rfam family "Bacterial small subunit ribosomal RNA", at positions 28 to 1378 of the family's 1533-position model. The record is from RNAcentral.